This 253-nucleotide ribosomal RNA is filed under the name uncultured bacterium. RNAcentral describes it as "partial 16S ribosomal RNA". It matches the Rfam family "Bacterial small subunit ribosomal RNA", at positions 524 to 776 of the family's 1533-position model. The record is from RNAcentral.
UACGUAGGGUGCGAGCGUUGCCCGGAAUUACUGGGCGUAAAGCGUGCGCAGGCGGCUUUGCAAGACAGAUGUGAAAUCCCCGGGCUCAACCUGGGAACUGCAUUUGUGACUGCACAGCUGGAGUGCGGCAGAGGGGGAUGGAAUUCCGCGUGUAGCAGUGAAAUGCGUAGAUAUGCGGAGGAACACCGAUGGCGAAGGCAAUCCCCUGGGCCUGCACUGACGCUCAUGCACGAAAGCGUGGGGAGCAAACAGG